GACGAACGCUGGCGGCGUGCCUAAUACAUGCAAGUAGAACGCUGAAGGAGGAGCUUGCUUCUCUGGAUGAGUUGCGAACGGGUGAGUAACGCGUAGGUAACCUGCCUGGUAGCGGGGGAUAACUAUUGGAAACGAUAGCUAAUACCGCAUAAUAGUAGAUGUUGCAUGACAUUUGCCUAAAAGGUGCAAUUGCAUCACUACCAGAUGGACCUGCGUUGUAUUAGCUAGUUGGUGGGGUAACGGCUCACCAAGGCGACGAUACAUAGCCGACCUGAGAGGGUGAUCGGCAACACUGGGACUGAGACACGGCCCAGAGUCCUACGGGAGGCAGCAGUAGGGAAUCUUCGGCAAUGGACGGAAGUCUGACCGAGCAACGCCGCGUGAGUGAAGAAGGUGUUCGGAUCGUAAAGCUCUGUUGUAAGAGAAGAACGAGUGUGAGAGUGGAAAGUUCACACUGUGACGGUAUCUUACCAGAAAGGGACGGCUAACUACGU
This 494-nucleotide ribosomal RNA is filed under the name uncultured bacterium. RNAcentral's name for it is "partial 16S ribosomal RNA". It matches the Rfam family "Bacterial small subunit ribosomal RNA", at positions 28 to 506 of the family's 1533-position model. The record is from RNAcentral.